UGAAUAAAUAAAUAAAUAAAUAAAGCAUUAUUCUUCUUAGGGUGGAAUUAAUAUAAGAAACAAAAUACUGCAUGAGAGUAUUUGUCCCUUAAAUAAGUAUAUGAGUGCAUAUGUGUAUAAAAUUCCAUGUAUGUGAGUUGCAUAUGUAAUAAACCAACACAAACUCAUGGGAAAUGGAUGCAUUAUUUGGUAGCGGCGAAUGACUUAUCAAACCUAGUAGCUGUUUCCUCUGACGUUUCCCUUAGAAUGAACUACUAUUGCAGGUGAAUCGUUUUAUUAGAAAAAGUGACUGAUUAGAGGUCUUGGGAAAAAAAUGAUCUCAACCUUUCCUCAAACUUUAAAUGGGUAGGAAGCCCGGCUUGCUGGUAUAGAGCUGGGUGUGGAAUGAAGGUGCCCAGCGAGCUACUUUUGGUUCAGCAGAAGUGGUACUGCAGGAUGCACAGAAUGUCAGUGAAGGUGCCUGCUGUGGAUGCUCAUUAGACACCAGAAAGGUAUUGGUUGUUACAGACAGCAGGACAGUAGCCAUUAAAGUCAGAAUCUGCUAAGGAGUGUAUAACAACUGACCUGUGGAUGCAUCUGACCCUGAAAAUGGAUGGCACUGGGCCACUGGGCCCAUAUUCGGCCUUCUUAGGCAGUGGACACACUAGAGAUGCUGGCAGGAAAAGGGCCUUAGCCGCCUGGAUCCCCCUCAUGCAUGCCGGGGUGUAACAAGCAAGGCAGCUGCAGUACAGCUUGAAGCCUAGGUAUGGGCCUGGGUGGAGCUGUAGAUGCA
Non-coding RNA from Papio anubis (olive baboon), 772 nucleotides. The record is from Rfam. NCBI's taxonomy places the organism in Eukaryota, Metazoa, Chordata, Mammalia, Primates, Cercopithecidae.